Molecule: long non-coding RNA, 686 nt
Filed under: Felis catus (domestic cat)
Lineage: Eukaryota; Metazoa; Chordata; Mammalia; Carnivora; Felidae
Description: lncRNA (ENSFCAG00000045035.2)
Source: RNAcentral
CGGACACCCUCCCCCAACCACAUGUAUCCGGCGACCACCCCGUGGCCACCCUGUGCUGCCAUCAUCCGAUAUUUCGGAGGGGAACACUCAAAACAUUACCACUCAUUCUUUUUUUUUUUUUUUUUUUUAAUGACAGAGCAAUAAUUCUGGGUGUCAGCAUAUCAGAAUUCCAGCGGCUGUGAGUGGAAUAAAGAUGGGUUGCUGUAAUUUGGCCAUCCAAAUCGUCGUAUUACACCCGGGCAGAGGAGUGGACUGGCCCAGCGGAGAGGCUGGUACUUGGCAACACCAUCUUGAACCUCUUGCUUCCUCGUCCCGAGGACCGGAAGGAAGGCACUCUCAAAGCAAAGGACACAGGUUUGACCCGGAGGCCCAGGAAGCAUUGUGUAUGGUUCAAGGUGCACCUUGAUCUGCAGGCUGGAGAAAUGAGGUGAUCAAGGCUAAAAAUGAAUACGCCUGACGUGGGAAACUAGCCUUCUGAAAUAAUUAGGCCACGAGCCGCAGGAUGAGGCAGCGUGAUGCAGGUGUCUGUUGAAUAAGAGACGCUCUCCCCCUCCCUCCUGUGCCGUCUCCAAAUGGUUGAAAAGUACCUUAGUUCUCUGGUGGAAUUGGUUUUAGAAAUAAUUCAUUUUCUGACCAUGCAGGACAGGGGAUUCAAGAUGCGUCUUCUUAAGCCAGUUGCGAUGAGA